Molecule: RNA transcript, 3995 nt
Organism: Glycine soja
Lineage: Eukaryota; Viridiplantae; Streptophyta; Magnoliopsida; Fabales; Fabaceae
Exons: 5
Source: RefSeq, a predicted model, not a curated record
UAUAACUGUUGUCGAAUGCUUCAAAACUCUAUUUGUAUCCCUCUCUAUCUAUCUCUCAUAAACUCGUCUUUAUAGUCACAAACCUUAUCUCUACACUCGCGUCCUCAUUCAUGUCAACAUUCUCCUCGAAUCACGAUGACAGUUAGGAAAGCAUGGAGGUUGCCAAUUUCUCCAAUGAUGAAGUCUCUGCUCCCUACAACCUUGAUUUCUCGGACUCACCAAUACCACAUAACUAUGACGAGGAAGAAUUGUUUGGAUGCCAAGGCCACGGAGGAUUUCUCAAGACAGGUUUGGCCAAUCAAAACCUAACCAUUCAGGUUCCCAACUCUGUUUGAAGGUUCAUAGAUAGAGAAAUGGGUUUUAAUAAAUGUGUUCAAAGGAACCUCACUCCAGCUGCCGUUGCUCCUAUUCAUCUUCAAAAGCAAGCUCACCUUCUCAAUGUGAAUUGCCCUGAUGAUGACACCAUUGGAUUGGGUACUCCAAGUGUCCCUCCCAUCAUUGAUUCUGAUUUUCCAUUGGAGAAGGAUUCAGAAUGCUCCCUAGGGAACGAACCAACUGACCCUCAUGGGUCUUGGCCUUCAAGGCAAUCUCUGGAUUAUGAUGGCACAAAAAGUGAGACUUCCAUUGAACAAAAACCCAAGCCCAAGACUGUUGCUAAACCCACUGUCGUUGAGCUUGCUCAAAGACUAGACAAAACUUUUACAGACGACAGAGAAAAACAGACCCCUCAUUUACAAUAUUACAACACCAGGUGUUGUCUAUCUUUAACUUUUAUUUAUGUCUCUAUAUGCAAAGUUAAUUGGUUCUCCCUUUUCCAGUGCAUCUCUUGAUCGCACCAUAAAGUUAUACAUAUGUUCUUCUUGCUAGUUGUGUCCUGCAUUUUCUUUGUUUAUUUCCAUACACCUAGGAUAACACUUAAGAACUACUAUACAAUAUAGCAGAAGAUAAGGAAGUAAAGCUGGAGGAUGGUAGAGUGUUGUGGAUGGAGUAUGGGAGUCAAAAUGGAGAUGGAGGCGGCUUCUAUUUCAAUGGGAACAGAAACUAGUGGAACAGGUGGAAGAUAUAUCAAUGAAAUCAACUUCAAUUCUUCAAAAAGAUGUAGGUAAAAGCGGUAUCUUGGAAGGUACAAAUGUUUGUGUGGAAGGUAGCUCUAAACCAUAUAUAUACAGUCUCUUGAAAAUUUGAUACAAAAAUAUAAUUGAUCUCAAGGAAGGAAACGUAUGUGACAGAGUAGUAGAAUGUAGAAGCUACUAUGUACCUAUUAAUUUGUUCUUUUAAUGUACAGUGGCUACAAGAGUGUGGGAAUCUUGCUUGAAAUGGUACUAGGGAAUUACUACGGUGAGACACAGACAUCCAAAUAAGUUUAAUUUCUUUGAUUUAUGGGGUUGGUGGAUUGUGAGAAGGGUACUGAAUGUCAGUGUGAUUUGCUAUAAUUUGAGUGUUAUGGAUGACAAUAAACUCAAUCAUUUUCAUAGCAAAUGCAAGGGGAGAGGAGCAGGUACAUAAUUGAGUAUGUUAAGAUACUAUAGAUAACAAUUGAAGGCAUGAAUGUUGAUCAAGGAAAAAUAAUUUUGAAGGUAAAUGCUAGCUGUGUCCAAUUAUCCCAUUAAAAAAAAGAAGAAUUUUUCCAACGGUUAAUGCAUUGAUGAUCAUCGUUUUUGUUCAAUAGGAAAGUGGCAUGACAUUAAUAGCAGCUUAAGAUUUGGAUGAUGCCACCCAGAGCAGUGAAAGUGGCUUAUUGAUAAAUUGUGGUUCAUCUGAGAAUUCACAUUUAUGAGGAGGGAAUUGAAGCAUGAAAAGUUCUUAUUGAAGUUGUGGUGUCAAAGCUUUUUCAAUAAGGAAGUGUACGUUUUUCACACGUUAUAUAUACUUCAUUUAGGGUUCAUGCACGUAAUGUAAUUUGACUUCUUCUAUGCAAUUCCAAGUAUUCAUACCAUUUUCUUUCUAUUAUUCCUGAUUGAGUUCUCUUGCUGGUAAUUGCAUGGAAACACUUCUGUUAGUGGUUAUAUAUGUUGGCUCAUUUAGGAGCCUAAGCCUAUAAAGCCUUUAAACUGGUAUUUUCAAUUUUGAAUAUGUUUGUUUUUGUUUAGAUACAAGGCUAGAAGAGUUUUUUUUUAUAAAAAAGUUUUAUAUUUCCAGUAGAGAAGCUCCCAAAAACUAUUAUAGCUUGUAUCCAAAUAGUUAUUAUAUAAUAAUAAUAAUAAUGGUUUCUUUUUGUCUGGUUAUUUCUCUGUUUCUUUUCUUUUGGCAUUUGAGGGGGCCACUAAAUGUAGAUUGAAUAUUUUAUAUUGCUAUCUGGGUGGGAGACUUGGUUUGUCAGACUCAAUAUUUUAUAUUGCUAUCUUAUAUACUUGCAAAUAAAUUAAAAUGAAUAUGUAGAAUCUAAGUUAACAUAGUUAACAUCAGGGACCUAAUUGGUAGCAAGAGUGGCUUAUGUCAGUUAUGUGAUUGUUUGUGACCACUUUUUCUUAUAUUUAAUAUAUUAGUAUAUUAGUACUAGCAUGUGGGUAGUAAACUUUCAGUUGAGAAUCUUGUUCAGUACAUUAAUUAAAAUUGGGAUUUCUAAUUUUUAUUGUUAUAUUUGUUUACUUUAACAUUACUAUAUAUGUAUUAAUUUGGCCAUUAUGAUAUAAUAUCAUUUAGUGUACUCAGGAAAUUGAUUAUUAUUUUUGCAGAUUUAGUGUUGAGAACAAGUCUAUUGUUUGCCUUUUAUUUUAAAUUUGAAUGAUCAAGGAUUCUGGAAGAUUUUGGUAGUUAACAUAUUCAGAUUUGAUUUUCUGGUGCAGAACUGGCUCUUAGCUUUUUGAAUAUGGUGCAAAAUUUGAACCUUAACAUUCCCUCUAUGCACAGGAGAUUGUUUACAUUUUUUAUCUAUUAAAUAUGUCAACAGUGGGCUGUAGUUUCAAAUCCAUCUGACAUUGUUGGAGUUUGUAAUUUGGACAGAAGUAAAACAAAAAUCCACUUGCACUUGGUUGCCAGGAACUUCUAAAGUUGGUAGGGAUGGCCAAUGCUAUGAUAAUUCAUCUCUUGUUGGAAAUUGCAAUGGCAAGCAUGAAAACCUAACAUCACAGUUUAGGAUUUCAGCGGUGCAGCAAACCAACUACUAUUUUUCUGAAUUUUCAGUAAUAGCUAAUAUAGUGAUAUUUCUAAUGUGUCAAAAUGUGGGGAUGCUUGCUUGUCAGAUUGUGAUUAUGCGGCUUCUAUUUAUGGGCUAAAUGAGGAGAGGUCAUUUUGUUGGGUCUUGAGGAGCUUUAGUUUUGGUGGUUUUCAGGAUACUAGCUCAACUUUGUUUGUAAAGUUCAGAGCAAAUGGAUCAUGGACUUCAGAUGGCCAAGCAGGAGGGUCUAAUAGCUCCUCCGAUGGAAUGGGAAGUGCAAAGGAGAAGCCUGUGAUUAUUCCUAUUGUUCUCAGCAUGGCUUCUCGUUUAUGAGUUCAUGAAAAAAGGAUCCUUGGAUAAAUGGAUCUUCCCUUCAUAUCAAGGUCGAGAUAGAUUGUUAGAUUGGACAACUCGUUUAAAUAUAGCCAUAGCUAUUGCACAAGGGAUUGCAUACUUUCAUGAGCAGUGUAGGGAUCGGAUAAUACAUUGUGAAAUCAAACCGGAAAAUAUAUUGGUAGACGAAAACUUUUGUCCCAAAGUAUCUGAUUUUGGGCUGGCCAAAUUGAUGGGAAGGGAGCACUCUCAUGUGGUCACAAUGGUCAGAGGCACUAGAGGUUAUUUGGCACCAGAAUGGGUUAGUAAUCGCCCUAUAACUGUAAAAGCUGGCGUUUACAGCUAUGGAAUGCUUCUUUUAGAGAUCAUUGGUGGCAGGAGAAAUCUUGACAUGUCCUUUGGUGCUGAGGACUUUUUCUAUCCUAGUUCGGCUUACAAGGUACAUUAAGAUACUGGUUUUUUUUAUUAUUUAUCUUUUUAUUGAUGAAAAGAUGACUUAAACAUCAUAUUUUAGUUGUAGCAUUUAACAUCCUAAUAAAUUAAUUCAAUCCAGAUUUCCCCCCUA